RNAcentral lists this ribosomal RNA (497 nucleotides) under uncultured bacterium. RNAcentral's name for it is "partial 16S ribosomal RNA". It matches the Rfam family "Bacterial small subunit ribosomal RNA", at positions 28 to 507 of the family's 1533-position model. The record is from RNAcentral.
GAUGAACGCUGGCGGCGUGCCUAAUACAUGCAAGUCGAACGAACAGAUACGGAGCUUGCUCCUUUGACGUUAGCGGAAGACGGGUGUGUAACAUGAGUAUCACCUACCUAUCAGACUGGGAUCUCUUCGGGAAACCGGCGCUAACACCGGAUAACCUAUUGCACCGCAUGGUUCAAUGGUGAGAGGCGGCGUUGCUGUCACUUCUAGAGGCAUCUAGGCCGUAUUAGCUAGUUGGUACGGUCACGGCUUACCAAGGGAAGGAGACGUAAACGACGUGAUGGAGGGAUCGGCCACAUGGGAGCGUGGACAGGUCCCAGGGUCCUACGGGAGGCAGCAGUAGGGAACCGUCCGCAAUAGGCGAAAGCCUGACGGAGCGAGGGCGCGUGAGUGAUGAAGGUCUUCGGAUCGUAAAAAUGGGUUAUCAGGUAUGAACAGAUGUGUAAGUAACUGUGCACAUCUUGACGGUACCGGAUCAGAAAGCCACGGCUAACUACGUG